UUGCUAUGAUGAUACUCAGUUUAUUGAUGGCAUUCGUAGAGUGCUUAUGAUACUUCGGCAUUCAUGUCGAAUCUGAGCGGUUACCUGAGCAA
RNAcentral lists this small nucleolar RNA (92 nucleotides) under Medicago truncatula (barrel medic). RNAcentral's name for it is "small nucleolar RNA snoR128". It matches the Rfam family "small nucleolar RNA snoR128". Lineage: Eukaryota; Viridiplantae; Streptophyta; Magnoliopsida; Fabales; Fabaceae. The record is from Rfam by way of RNAcentral.